CUCAAGAUACAGCUCCCAUUGACGAGUUGCCUACCGAUAAGAUACCAUUCGCUCCUAUCAGACCCGAGUCUCCUGGCGUAUCUCUCGCCCAUUCUACCCCUACGUCUUUGAGAGCAUGGACUAUUCCAAAAAUUACGACCGAACUUAGGCUUAGGGGCAUCCCCUUUCCUGCUACGGCUCAUAAGGCGGAACUCUACAGACUUUUGAC
Non-coding RNA from Pelobates cultripes (western spadefoot toad), 208 nucleotides. NCBI's taxonomy places the organism in Eukaryota, Metazoa, Chordata, Amphibia, Anura, Pelobatidae. The record is from the annotation of a GenBank genome assembly.